GUGCAGCAGUCGAGAAAACUUCACAAUGUGCGAAAGCACGAUGAGGGAAUCCCAAGUGCUUGCACGUAAGUGUAAGCUGUUUCUCUGUCUAAGACGCAGAGAGAGUAAGGGCUGGGUAAGACGGGUGCCAGCCGCCGCGGUAAUACCUGCAGCUCGAGUGGUGACCGUUAUUAUUGGGCCUAAAACGUCCGUAGCCGGUUUAAUAAAUGCCUGGGUAAAUCGGACCGCUUAACGGUUCGAAUUCCGGGUAGACUGUUAAACUUGAGACCGGGAGAAGUUAGAGGUACUCCUGGGGUAGAGGUGAAAUUCUGUAAUCCUAGGGGGACCACCAGUGGCGAAGGCGUCUAACUAGAACGGGUCUGACGGUGAGGGACGAAGCCCUGGGGCGCAAACGGGGAUUAGAUACCCGCGUAGU
RNAcentral lists this ribosomal RNA (415 nucleotides) under uncultured microorganism. RNAcentral's name for it is "bacterial SSU rRNA". It matches the Rfam family "Archaeal small subunit ribosomal RNA", at positions 330 to 745 of the family's 1478-position model. The record is from RNAcentral.